This 72-nucleotide transfer RNA is filed under the name Solirubrobacter taibaiensis. RNAcentral's name for it is "tRNA-Gln". It matches the Rfam family "tRNA". From Rfam's summary of the family: Transfer RNA (tRNA) molecules are approximately 80 nucleotides in length. Lineage: Bacteria; Bacillati; Actinomycetota; Thermoleophilia; Solirubrobacterales; Solirubrobacteraceae. The record is from RNAcentral.
UGGGGAGUGGUGUAACGGCAGCACACAGGCUUUUGGCGCCUUGAGAUUCAGGUUCGAAUCCUGGCUCCCCAG